This 274-nucleotide ribosomal RNA is filed under the name uncultured bacterium. RNAcentral's name for it is "partial 16S ribosomal RNA". It matches the Rfam family "Bacterial small subunit ribosomal RNA", at positions 523 to 796 of the family's 1533-position model. The record is from RNAcentral.
AUACGGAGGGGACUAGCGUUGUUCGGAAUUACUGGGCGUAAAGAGUUCGUAGGCGGACUGAUAAGUAAGAGGUGAAAUCCCAGGGCUCAACCCUGGAACUGCCUUUUAAACUGUCAGUCUAGAGACCGGAAGAGGUUAGGGGAAUACCUAGUGUAGAGGUGAAAUUCGUAGAUAUUAGGUGGAACACCAGUGGCGAAGGCGCCUAACUGGUCCGGUACUGACGCUGAGGAACGAAAGCGUGGGGAGCAAACAGGAUUAGAAACCCGAGUAGUCC